GCAAUGAAGACAAUUCUGAUUUUUAUCAGCAGUGAGAAACACACACUAAUACCUUUAAGAAGUUCUGAGCUC
Small nucleolar RNA from Coregonus clupeaformis (lake whitefish), 72 nucleotides. RefSeq annotates it as small nucleolar RNA SNORD61. The transcript has a single exon. NCBI's taxonomy places the organism in Eukaryota, Metazoa, Chordata, Actinopteri, Salmoniformes, Salmonidae. The record is from RefSeq and is a predicted model, not a curated record.